UGAGGAAUAUUGGGUCAAUGGGCGCGAGCCUGAACCAGCCAAGUAGCGUGCAGGAUGACGGCCCUAUGGGUUGUAAACUGCUUUUAUGCGGGGAUAAAGUUGGGGACGUGUCCCUUUUUGCAGGUACCGCAUGAAUAAGGACCGGCUAAUUCCGUGCCAGCAGCCGCGGUAAUACGGAAGGUCCGGGCGUUAUCCGGAUUUAUUGGGUUUAAAGGGAGCGUAGGCCGGCUUUUAAGCGUGUUGUGAAAUGCCGCGGACUCAACCGUGGCACUGCAGCGCGAACUGGAGGCCUUGAGUGCGCGGGAGGUAGGCGGAAUUCGUGGUGUAGCGGUGAAAUGCUUAGAUAUCACGAAGAACUCC
RNAcentral lists this ribosomal RNA (360 nucleotides) under uncultured Prevotella sp. RNAcentral's name for it is "bacterial SSU rRNA". It matches the Rfam family "Bacterial small subunit ribosomal RNA", at positions 355 to 710 of the family's 1533-position model. The record is from RNAcentral. Lineage: Bacteria; Pseudomonadati; Bacteroidota; Bacteroidia; Bacteroidales; Prevotellaceae.